Molecule: long non-coding RNA, 1773 nt
Filed under: Oncorhynchus mykiss (rainbow trout)
Lineage: Eukaryota; Metazoa; Chordata; Actinopteri; Salmoniformes; Salmonidae
Description: lncRNA (ENSOMYG00000070423.1)
Source: RNAcentral
UGAUUCCCUGUCGGAAUGUGCUGGGUUCUCAGAAUCAACCGGGUGGUCACAUGAUUCCCUAUCCGAAUGUGCUGGGUUCUCAGAAUCAACCGGGUGGUCACAUGAUUCCCUAUCGGAAUGUGCUGGGUUCUCAGAAUCAACUAGGCGGUCCUAUGAUUCCCUAUCGGAAUGUGCUGGGUUCUCAGAAUCAACCGGGUGGUCCCAUGAUUCCCUAUCGGAAUGUGCUGGAUUCUCAGAAUCAACGGGGUGGUCACAUGAUUCCCUAUCCACAUGUGCUGGGUUCUCAGAAUCAACCGGGUGGUCACAUGAUUCCCUAUCGGAAUGUGCUGGGUUCUCCGAAUCAACUAGGCGAUCACAUGAUUCCCUAUCAGAAUGUGCUGGGUUCUCAGAAUCCACCGGGUGGUCCCAUGAUUCCCUAUCGGAAUGUGCUGGGUUCUCAGAAUCAACCGGGUGGUCACAUGAUUCCCUAUCGAAAUGUGCUGGGUUCUCCGAAUCGACGGGGUGGUCCCAUGAUUCCCUAUCGGAAUGUGCUGGGUUCUCAGAAUCAACAGGGUGGUCACAUGAUUCCCUAUCGGAAUGUGCUGGGUUCUCAGCAUCAAUGGGGUGGUCCCAUGAUUCCCUGUCGGAAUGUGCUGGGUUCUCAGAAUCAACCGGGUGGUCACAUGAUUCCCUAUCCGAAUGUGCUGGGUUCUCAGAAUCAACCGGGUGGUCACAUGAUUCCCUAUCGGAAUGUGCUGGGUUCUCAGAAUCAACUAGGCGGUCACAUGAUUCCCUAUCAGAAUGUGCUGGGUUCUCAGAAUCCUUCCGGUGGUCCUAUGAUUCCCUAUCGGAAUGUGCUGGGUUCUCAGAAUCAACCGGGUGGUCCCAUGAUUCCCUAUCGGAAUGUGCUGGGUUCUCCGAAUCAACUAGGCGGUCACAUGAUUCCCUAUCAGAAUGUGCUGGGUUCUCAGAAUCCACCGGGUGGUCCCAUGAUUCCCUAUCGGAAUGUGCUGGGUUCUCAGAAUCAACCGGGUGGUCCCAUGAUUCCCUAUCGGAAUGUGCUGGGUUCUCAGAAUCAACGGGGUGGUCACAUGAUUCCCUAUCCACAUGUGCUGGGUUCUCAGAAUCAACCGGUUGGUCACAUGAUUCCCUAUCGAAAUGUGCUGGGUUCUCCGAAUCGACGGGGUGGUCCCAUGAUUCCCUAUCGGAAUGUGCUGGGUUCUCAGAAUCAACAGGGUGGUCACAUGAUUCCCUAUCGGAAUGUGCUGGGUUCUCAGCAUCAAUGGGGUGGUCCCAUGAUUCCCUGUCGGAAUGUGCUGGGUUCUCAGAAUCAACCGGGUGGUCACAUGAUUCCCUAUCCGAAUGUGCUGGGUUCUCAGAAUCAACCGGGUGGUCACAUGAUUCCCUAUCGGAAUGUGCUGGGUUCUCAGAAUCAACUAGGCGGUCACAUGAUUCCCUAUCAGAAUGUGCUGGGUUCUCAGAAUCCACCGGGUCGUCCUAUGAUUCCCUAUCGGAAUGUGCUGGGUUCUCAGAAUCAACCGGGUGGUCCCAUGAUUCCCUAUCGGAAUGUGCUGGAUUCUCAGAAUCAACGGGGUGGUCACAUGAUUCCCUAUCCACAUGUGCUGGGUUCUCAGAAUCAACCGGGUGGUCCCAUGAUUCCCUAUCGGAAUGUGCUGGGUUCUCAGAAUCUACAGGGUGGUCACAUGAUUCCCUAUCGGAAUGUGCUGGGUUCUCAGCAUCAACGAGGUGGUCACAUGACUCCCUAUCGAAAUGUGCUGGGUUCUCAGAAUCAAC